UACCAGCACCCCGAGUAGUCGGGACGAUUAUUGGGCCUAAAGCAUCCGUAGCCGGUUCUGCAAGUCCUCCGUUAAAUCCACCUGCUCAACAGAUGGGCUGCGGGGGAUACCGCAGAGCUAGGAGGCGGGAGAGGCAAACGGUACUCAGUGGGUAGGGGUAAAAUCCUUUGAUCUACUGAAGACCACCAGUGGCGAAGGCGGUUUGCCAGAACGCGCUCGACGGUGAGGGAUGAAAGCUGGGGGAGCAAACCGG
RNAcentral lists this ribosomal RNA (253 nucleotides) under uncultured bacterium. RNAcentral's name for it is "partial 16S ribosomal RNA". It matches the Rfam family "Archaeal small subunit ribosomal RNA", at positions 474 to 727 of the family's 1478-position model. The record is from RNAcentral.